CACUUCCACAGACAUUUCGACAAAAUUAUGAUGAACAUCUUUUGUUUUAUAACGUCACAUCAAGUAGGAAUUGUAGUAUACCAAAUCAAACAUAUUUGUUGAUAUUGUUGGAGAAGCUAAAAUCCAUCUACAACCGAAAACUUGUUCUGAGGCGCCGCACGGCAACAAGACUGACUCUGACAAUGACGACAGGGAACCUGGCGUGUUUGAUGGAGAACUUGCCCCGCUGUGCAUUUGGGAUACAGAAGAUGAGGACUUUGAUGGAUUUGUGGAUGAGGAUUGAUCAAAUAUAACAUUUACAUGACGCUGCACAGGAGAUAGUAAUAGAAGACGGGGGUACAGAGGAAGAAUCAUCUUCUAUUGUGACAGACGCAGAGCAGGAGUCAGCAAGGGAUGCCCAAGACUCAGAAGCAAUACCAGAAAGAUACAGAAAGAAAUGCCAAAGCAGAAGAAGAUGGAGAGACAGAGGAAAAAGAAGCAGAGGUCGACAAAGGCUGAUGUCUUCUCACCCCUAACCGUAACCCUAACCUUAAUCUUGAACUCUAAAUCUAAACCUU
Dunckerocampus dactyliophorus (ringed pipefish) is the source of this 557-nucleotide long non-coding RNA. RefSeq lists it as uncharacterized. The transcript has 3 exons. Lineage: Eukaryota; Metazoa; Chordata; Actinopteri; Syngnathiformes; Syngnathidae. The record is from RefSeq and is a predicted model, not a curated record.